AACGAACGCUGGCGGCAUGCCUAACACAUGCCAGUCGAACGAGACCUUCGGGUCUAGUGGCGCACGGGUGCGUAACGCGUGGGAAUCUGCCCUUGGGUUCGGAAUAACAGUUGGAAACGACUGCUAACACCGGAUGAUGACGUAAGUCCAAAGAUUUAUCGCCCAGGGAUGAGCCCGCGUAGGAUUAGCUAGUUGGUGGGGUAAAGGCCUACCAAGGCGACGAUCCUUAGCUGGUCUGAGAGGAUGAUCAGCCACACUGGGACUGAGACACGGCCCAGACUCCUACGGGAGGCAGCAGUGGGGAAUAUUGGACAAUGGGCGAAAGCCUGAUCCAGCAAUGCCGCGUGAGUGAUGAAGGCCUUAGGGUUGUAAAACUCUUUUACCCGGGAUGAUAAUGACAGUACCGGGAGAAUAAGCCCCGGCUAACUCCGUG
This 433-nucleotide ribosomal RNA is filed under the name uncultured bacterium. RNAcentral's name for it is "partial 16S ribosomal RNA". It matches the Rfam family "Bacterial small subunit ribosomal RNA", at positions 29 to 507 of the family's 1533-position model. The record is from RNAcentral.